This 136-nucleotide ribosomal RNA is filed under the name Hyphomicrobiales bacterium. RNAcentral's name for it is "partial 16S ribosomal RNA". It matches the Rfam family "Bacterial small subunit ribosomal RNA", at positions 1 to 150 of the family's 1533-position model. Lineage: Bacteria; Pseudomonadati; Pseudomonadota; Alphaproteobacteria; Hyphomicrobiales. The record is from RNAcentral.
CAACUUGAGAGUUUGAUCCUGGCUCAGAACGAACGCUGGCGGCAGGCUUAACACAUGCAAGUCGAACGCCCCGCAAGGGGAGUGGCAGACGGGUGAGUAACACGUGGGAACGUCCCCCUCGGUUCGGAAUAACUCA